RNA transcript from Magnolia sinica, 2647 nucleotides. It is a transcript of the gene named protein WHAT'S THIS FACTOR 1 homolog, chloroplastic-like, with no coding region annotated. The transcript has 3 exons. NCBI's taxonomy places the organism in Eukaryota, Viridiplantae, Streptophyta, Magnoliopsida, Magnoliales, Magnoliaceae. The record is from RefSeq and is a predicted model, not a curated record.
AGGUAGUACCCAAUCCACGCCACAAACAACCCCAUUGAGAAAUGAAAAAGAGAAGCUCGCGUUAGAGGCUCGCCCCUUCGACUCCACACGAAUCUCCACGAACCGUGUAUCAUCAGGUGGGCCAUAUGUGUUCUAGAAAAAUGGACGGUCUAAACAGUCUUGCUUCGACGGCGCCGUUGUAGGAGAGGGCUGGUAUCGCGAUGGCAAGUACAAGUAGAUGCAUGGAAGUUCAUUGGGACAUUUUGACAAACACCUAGAAAACACGAGAAUUUACGUUCUUAGGCGAUUUGGGAUUUGUUUGGUUCUUGUCGUUUGAUGUCUAAAAUUGCAGAUUUUGUUCUUGCACUAAAAUUCCAUUCGGGCAUUUCAACGAACAUCUGGCGUCCACCUAGUGGUUUUGGUUCUUAAUUCAUUUGGGUGUUUCUCGUCGUCAUCGGAUUUCUAUAAAUAUUAGGUUCAGACUGAAAGACCUGGGUUCUUUUGAAUUUAUUUGUUAAAUCUAAGAUUACAGAUUUCAUGUUCUUAUCUGCUUCGAAUGAUGUGUUGUUUGCCAUUUGGUGGUUGGAACUAAGAUAGCGGAAUUUUGGGUUGUUAUCUGCUUUUAGUAACUUGGGUUAUUCUGUAUUUGGUGGUUGAAUUCCCUUUUCUCUGAGGAAUUCUAAAACCCAGUUAGUGAAAAACGCUGAUUGAUGGCAAUGUGGCAUACAGUUUUCUCAAAAACUAUCAGUUGAAAAACAGCAGAAAUUCUAAGUAAUGUCAAUCUGCAUGAUCAGACGGCUCUCAAUGAUGAUCACCCAGUUGGUUAGGAACAAACUCAACAGAAUUAGUAUCGAUUUUGCUGAAUUUUCAUAUGUAAGACUAUCUCUGUCACCCGUAGACAAUCAGAUGGCUUCCGGAUGGAUUUUCUCAGACUUGCAAAAGCGAUUGAUGACUACAAGCAAGCGGGUCCAAGACAGAAGCAAGAAGAAGCGGGUCCAUGAUCUCGAAAUAGUGACUGAGAAGUGGAAGAUAGCAUCGAAGGUGUUGUUUGUGAUAGAGCUUCUAAAGAACGAACCCGAGCAGAUCAUGCGUCUGAGAGAAUUGGAACGGUACCGGCAGCAGAUCAACCUGCAGAAGCCGCACAAGGUCUCGGAUUUCAUCCGCAAGUCCCCAAAGCUGUUCGAAUUGUACAAGGACCAGAAGGGCGUGAUAUGGUGUGGGCUGACACAGCAGGGUGAGGACCUUGUGGCGGAGGAGGAGCGACUCAAGGAAGAGCACAGCCCACAACUAGCCCAGUAUGUCACGAGGUUCUUGAUGAUGUCGGUCGAUAAACGGCUCCAAGUAGACAAGAUUGCCCACUUCAGGCGUGACUUGGGUCUGCCUUAUGAUUUCCGGAAUCAGUGGAUUCAUAUGUUUCCGGAACUCUUCAAGGCAGUCAAAAUCGACGAUGUUGAGUACUUGGAACUUGUGUCGUGGAACCCGGCUUGGGCAGUGACAGAGUUGGAGAAGAAGUUAGCAGCGGGACCGGAAUCUGAUCGCCCCCCACCAGGGCUGCUUUGCCUCCCUUUCCCAUUGAAGUUCCCAGCAAACUACAAGAAGAUCUUUAGAUACGGCGGACAGAUUGAGCAUUUCCAAAAACGGUCAUAUCUAUCACCGUAUGCUAAUCCACGUGAUCUGAGCCCAGGAUCACGGGAGUUUGAUAAGAGGGCAGUUGCAGUCAUGCACGAGCUGCUGAGCUUUACGCUUGAGAAAAGGCUGGUGACGGACCAUUUGACCCACUUCCGGCAGGAAUUCAAGAUGCCCCAAAAGCUGAUGCGGCUUCUUUUGAAGCAUUUUGGCAUCUUUUACGUUUCGGAGAGGGGAAAGAGGCUGAGCGUCUACUUGACGGAAGCAUAUGAAGGUUCGGAAUUGAUUGAGAAAUGCCCAUUGGUGCUUUGGAAGGAGAAGAUUCAGAACCUUGUUGGGUAUAGAGGGCGGAAAAAGAGGCUCGAAAUGUUUAAUGAAUUUUCAGACAUGGAUGAUGAGAAGCUGUUUGAAGACGAGCCUAACGGCGAAAAUGCAUUUGGGGAGUUAGACAAUGCAGCAAAUGUGGGUCCACUAGAUGGUGCUUUACUUACAGAUGAUGAGGAGAUGGCAGUUGCAGAAGAAGUAUACAAUGCGUACAAGGAUUCAUCUUGAGGGAUGACUCUUUUGAGGAGCCACAAUUUUUUUUGGAGACUCAAGGCAUUGAAUGGAGUUGCGACCACGGUUUGCUCUUCACUGACUACACCUAUACAGUUGGUGGGAGAAGAUCAGAGAGUGAUUAGGUGUGGCAUUAUUACUAGGGAGGAGAUCCAUGCCGUUUCGGGCAUUGAAGGGUGUGAAGAGAUGAACACUAAGGAUGUCCCAUUUUAUGAUGAGCCUGAGGCUGGUGAUGGAAAGAGGAGGCUAAACAUGACAAUGGGGAAGACCUUUGAGAUUGGAAAGCUUAGGUGGAUUGAUAUAUGGUUCCAAAAAGGUAGGGCUAAUUUGGAAUCCAGGCAACUGGAAAAUGUCUAUGGUAUGUUUUCUAAUUUAUUUAGUUUCAAUUUUGAUGAAUGAAUGUCUUGAUUUAACUUUUGAAAGGGUGGAAUUCAAGAAAUGACAGUUUCCUACUUCUCUAGAGAGAAAAGCUGUAGUUUGAUUUUAA